AUUGAACGCUGGCGGCAUGCUUUACACAUGCAAGUCGAACGGGGUGGGGGGCAACUCCCAUUCAGUGGCGAACGGGUGAGUAAUGCAUCGGAACGUAUCACGUAGUGGGGGACAACGCCGCGAAAGCGGCGCUAAUACCGCAUAUGCUCUACGGAGGAAAGUGGGGGACCGCAAGGCCUCACGCUAUGGGAGCGGCCGAUGUCCGAUUAGCUAGUUGGUGGGGUAAUGGCCCACCAAGGCGACGAUCGGUAGCUGGUCUGAGAGGAUGAUCAGCCACACUGGGACUGAGACACGGCCCAGACUCCUACGGGGGGCAGCAGUGGGGAAUUUUGGACAAUGGGGGCAACCCUGAUCCAGCCAUGCCGCGUGAGUGAAGAAGGCCCUCGGGUUGUAAAGCUCUUUCGGCCGGGAAGAAAUCGCACGGGCUAAUACCCUGUGUGGACGACGGUACCGGAAUAAGAAGCACCGGCUGACUACGUGCCAGCAGCCGCCGUAA
This 496-nucleotide ribosomal RNA is filed under the name uncultured bacterium. Its description in RNAcentral is "partial 16S ribosomal RNA". It matches the Rfam family "Bacterial small subunit ribosomal RNA", at positions 29 to 523 of the family's 1533-position model. The record is from RNAcentral.